AAAGCGAUAAAUAAGAACCUGCUCCAAACGGAGGGCUUUAAAUCUGGUACAAGGAAAAUAAACCUCCGACUCUGAAGAUAAAGACGACAGCAACUCGAAGUGACCCAACUCAAUCUCACUAAGGUGCGAUAACCCCCCAAUGUGACAUGCUCCAAACGGAGGGCUUUAAAUCUGGUACAAGGAAAAUAAACCUCCGACUCUGAAGAUAAAGACGACAGCAACUCGAAGUGACCCAACUCAA
This 241-nucleotide long non-coding RNA is filed under the name Lathyrus oleraceus (garden pea). RNAcentral describes it as "Pisum sativum (pea) long non-coding RNA (PSAT_LNC018972)". Lineage: Eukaryota; Viridiplantae; Streptophyta; Magnoliopsida; Fabales; Fabaceae. The record is from RNAcentral.